CAGGAGCCUCCUGUGUGCAAUUAAAGUUCAAUGUAAAGAGCAGGAGAUAAAAACUUUCAAAAAAGUAAGUUACACCUAUAAGAGAUCAGAGAUCUCCUUCACCAGUCCGCAGGCACUUUGCUGGCAGCCGGCACAGAGGGAAAGAGAACCCGAGAACUCAGCCUGCAGCUCCUCCGGGUACUCCUCUCGCGAGCACAGAGGAUUGUCGCGGUUCCCGUGGCAACGCUCCGGAUCUCGCGAGAGCGAAAUCUAGCCCCGAAGGCUAGAGUUCACUCUAACCACUGGGACCACCAGGGAUUCUCCACCGGACCACCAGGGAUUGAGAAAAAUCCCUCCUCCCCGUCAAAG
Pelobates cultripes (western spadefoot toad) is the source of this 348-nucleotide non-coding RNA. Lineage: Eukaryota; Metazoa; Chordata; Amphibia; Anura; Pelobatidae. The record is from the annotation of a GenBank genome assembly.